This is a long non-coding RNA of Panthera uncia (snow leopard), 1176 nucleotides long. RefSeq lists it as uncharacterized. NCBI's taxonomy places the organism in Eukaryota, Metazoa, Chordata, Mammalia, Carnivora, Felidae. The transcript is spliced from 6 exons. The record is from RefSeq and is a predicted model, not a curated record.
AGUUGAUCUUGUUUCCUUGCUUCUCAAGGUACAGAGUUUGCUGGAAAAUUCCUCAUGUUUCAUGUCUCCUUUUUUUUAUCCCAUUUUUGAUUGACAGUGGAUGGAGGUGGUCAAUAUACCAGAGCGCCAUGAAGUGACAAAGAGCAUUUCCUGAAGAAACCUCAGCAGAGUGAUGGGUGAUCAUUUGGUUCGAUAACACCAAAGGCUGGAUGAAUUUACCCGGAGAGGACCGUAAUGAAAAUCUGAAAUAACCUUUAUAAUUUUCAAGUGAGGAAAUGAAGGCCAAACAUGAGAGGCUACAAUAAGAGUAUACUGGUUGUGGAUGUUUCCUGAUUUUAUGGCAUUAGUGUCUCCUGGCAUCUCAGUGGAGGACACCUCACUUUAGAUUUCAAUCCAAUGGAAUCUGGACUCUCUCUGAUCCCUCAGUGACUCGUCAGUUUGGGCUUCCAGGCCAUGCCCGCUGAAACAUGUUAAGAAACCAACUACUGUAUGCGAUGCGGUGGUUCUAAAGGCUUUCGACUGCUUUUUCACAAACCGCUGUCCUCAUUUAGCCACAGUCCAUGGAGAUGGAGAAGAGACAUGUCUAGUAAGAAGUUGCUAUGGCUGGUGUCAAAGAGGUUGCUGCCUGUGUUCUCCUCUAGGAUUUUGAUGGUUUCCUGUCUCACAUGCAUUGUGCCAAGAACAGGGGAUAUAAUGAUGAACAAGAAACAGAUACAAACAAAUAAGGGAUGAUCUGUGCUACUUUGAGGAAAAACUCAAAGCGACCAGAAAAGAAAGAAAAAUGAUGGAUCCAGGAGCAUGGUGGGUGUGUUGGGAGGUAGACAUACUUCAAAGAGGGACGUUACUAAGCAUACACAAAUGUUGUUGACCCAGCUUGGCCAACGCACCUAUCUGGAAGGUGAUGGUAUAGCCAUUCAGGCAAUGUUUAUGUAUUUAUGCACAAAAAAAAAAUGUUAUCUCUCUGCCUCACAUGUAUUUUAUAAACACAAGCAAUUCCUUCUGUGUAUCACUGCCAUGAUGCUGGAAACACUGCAUCGCCAGUAACCAGCAGAGAACCUGGGACAUAGCAGGCAUGUGAUCAUGUUGAAUAACAACACUCACGAACAAAUGAAAGGCACUUUUAGAACAAUAGGAUGUUGAAUUUAUGGUGUCAUAAAAUAAAUCAGUUCCACAUUU